GGAAGUGUAGUGGAAGUGUAGUUGUCUGAUGGAGGAACCCAUAGCUGUAUGGAUCUGUGCAAAACUGCUACAUGCACGUCUUCACUCCUGAGGAUAUUUUUAUUUGUGGGUUCUUAGCCAGACGCGAUCAGAGCUUGUAGCAGCACAACCGAGAGGGAGGAGAAUGGGCCUGCCAAGAAAACAAAAUAGCCUUCCAAGUGGAAAGUAGAGAUUCGGAAGAGAAGGAUGUAGGGUUUAUCCUACUUUGGCAGGGAAAAGAUGGUUUGAGUUGACUUUGGCAAUUCAUAUCUGCACUGUUUGAUUAUUUAUUACAUACAUGAUUCUUACCAGAAUACUUGUAUUCCAUGCUGAAAUGUCUGAUUUGCAUACUAGUAACAUGAUUAAUAGUGAAAUUUCGAUAUUCAUUGUUUGACUGUUGUACCACUUACCUGAUCCUACUUGAUAUUUCAUUCUGAGUAAAAAAUUAAACAUCACACUUUGUGUAAAUAUUUUUAGGACGCAUUCACGAUCACAUUUACUUGAAAUUAUAUUGUGAAAAUAAAUGUUCAUUAAUGCUAUUGAAAUUGUGAAAUUAUUAUAAUCUCUUGAGUACGUCUACAUUUUUAUGAAAUUGAGCACUAUGAUAGAUAAUAAGAAUGAGUCCAAAUAAAAGUUUGCGUAACGUAGCGCGUACAGUAGGAAACUUCUCGAAAGCGUACGCCAUUUGUACUUAUUUUGAAGCAUGCGUCGAUGCAAGCUGCAACGGAAAGUAUGCAAAUAUGACACAACAUUUAUUGAAAACAAUGGCAGCUAAAUUAUUACGAUUCACAUAUCUAGCUGAUAAUUGUUAAGUCAAACGUUUGCUUUGUGUAUAUGUAUGUAACAGUAUAGCUUCCGUCCCUCUCCUCGCCCCAAACCAGGAACUCUCUGCGCACAUCAACAACUGAC
Molecule: long non-coding RNA, 927 nt
Filed under: Salmo salar (Atlantic salmon)
Lineage: Eukaryota; Metazoa; Chordata; Actinopteri; Salmoniformes; Salmonidae
Description: lncRNA (ENSSSAG00000092719.1, ENSSSAG00000092905.1)
Source: RNAcentral